GAGAUGUGUGUCCCCUCGUCCAUAGUAGGCUAUUAGAAAUGAAAUGUUUUGUUUAACUUUUUAUUCUAGGGCGGCAGGUAGCCUCGUGGUUAGAGCGUUGGGCCAGUAACCGAAAGGUUGCUAGAUCGAAUCCCCGAGCUGACGGGGUAAAAGUCUGUCGUUUGGCCCCUGAACAAGGCCGUUUUAACCCACUGUUCCUAGGCCGUCAUUGUAAAUAAGAAGAAACUUUGGCAUCAGUAUUUCCUGUGAUAGGUCAAAUGUUCUAUAUCUACAGACAAGUGUGUUCCUUGACCUCUCUCAUCAAAGAGACACCUUUUUAUUCUAUUUUAAAUUCCUCACCUUUUGAUUUUCUACAAAUACACUACUCUACACUGAGCCUUUUUAUAAAAAUGAUUUCUGAGAUUGCAGAACAUGUUGGGAGGGAUCUUAGACCUUUCCUCCAUACAGAAUCUUUCUAGAUCCUUGAUAUCCCUUCAAUUCAAACCACCGGAGACUGAGAUGGCCAUUGCAAAAUAUAGAAUGUCUGGUAAAUUUACCAUAUAUUAGAUGUGUGCUUGGGGUUAUUGUCUUGCUGGAAGACCCACUUGCGGCCAGGUUUCAGGGGCCAGGAGCUGACCUACGCUACUAUGCCCAUCAAUGGGGCGCUGGCAAAGACCUCACCAAUGGUCAUCAACAGAAUUAGAAACAUGUAUGGAGCCAGCACAUGGAGACUUGCAAGAUGAUGUGACGAAGUCCAGGCAUGCAGACGGGCUUGAUACUGAUGUCUCUGAAUGGAGAGAGACCUGGCACUCCGCACACACGUUUUACUUGUAUUGUCUUUUAUUAUUAUAGAAUGGGAAUGGGGAAGAAGAAACCCUGUUAUUUUGGGAAUUACUGAUUAUAGGGGACACAGGAAGGUUUGACCUCUCUGAUACGUUUGCCAAAGUAGCCCCAUUACCACCAGACAAAAUGCCUAUAGGCACAUUAUCUGAAUUGGCUGGGAAUGACAAUGAAAAGUGAAAGGUACACAUUGUUAUAUUAGCAGAACACCACUUCUGUGGUAUUAUGUAAAGGAGGUGUCAAACUCAUUCCAUGGAGGGCCGAGUGUCUGCGGGUUUUCGCUCCACCCUUGUACUUUAUUGAUGAAUUAAGGUUGCUAAUUAGUGAGGAACUCCCCUCACCUGGUUGUCUAUGUCUUAAUUGAAAGGAAAAAGACUCAAACCCACAGACACUGCCCUCCGUGGAAUGAGUUUGACACCCCUGAUGUAAAAAGGUUGAUUUUACCUGUUACUAUCUUUGAAAGUUAUCAAGACACUUAGUUUUCGAGUAUCUACAUAAGUUCCGCAAUUGCUGUCUUCUCAUAUUACUCUGUAAGCUACUGACCUAUUCAAAGCUCCUUCCGGCAUCUCAUCAUACAUCUGUAGUUCGUUAUUGAAUUCAUCCUGCAGGAGGUUUGUUUGUUGUGACUGAGUGGGGGAAGAACCGCUGCGGGCAAGGUUCUGACAGAUGGGUGUGUCUUGGUGGUACCAAAGACACACCCAUGAAACACCCAUAUCAAACCACACCCCCAAGCAAACUCGUUUGGUUGCUGG
Oncorhynchus tshawytscha (Chinook salmon) is the source of this 1571-nucleotide long non-coding RNA. Lineage: Eukaryota; Metazoa; Chordata; Actinopteri; Salmoniformes; Salmonidae. The record is from Ensembl.